CCAAACACGCACAAACUCAACCAUUCACGAAAAAACCUAAGUUUGCUAAGACUCACUGCUGCUCGUUGCUAAGCCUCGCCCUCGCUCCUGCUCGUGACUCGCCGCCGCUCGUGCUUCUCUCAAAACCUAAGUUUGCUAACACUUGGAGGAAGAAGAUGGAAGUCGCUUAAUUUGGUGGGGUUUUGCGAUUCAUACAAGUAUUACUAUGAGCCAGGCACUGGAAGGCAGUUUCGCUCUCUGAUAGGUGUUCAGAGACAUCUAACAGAAGACAAUGGAAGUUCGUGCCUUUAGUUGGCAAAGAUUGGACACAGCCAGAGUGGCAAGGCUUUCUCGCUAAUAAGAGCAAGAACCCUCGUCUGCCGCUUUGCCUCAGAUUUACACCUUCUUCUUCAUGAAUUCAGCGAACUCUUCCACCCACUCCAGCUCUGGCGAACUCUUCCAGCCACUGCAGAACUCUUCCAUCUUGCUUAGAUUGGUGGAGGGAUGAUUGAAUGGAUUCAUAUGAGGCACUUUUUAUGCUGAAUUGCGUGGCUCAGAAUUUCAAGUGGUAGUGAAUCUAUUUUUGUUGUAUUGGUGGUGGAUCAUCGCGCAAACAAGGAGACCCGUAUUCUUUGACAGCAAGGCAUAUGGUAGCUUUUUGUUAUCUGGAAAGUAGGUCUUGGAGGCUUGGUAAAAUUUCGACAGUUUCUUGCCUUUGGAUUAGUAGCUUUAGAGUUCUUACUAUCUUAUUGCUUUAGUAGUUUGAUGUGCAAAACUGCAAGUGUACAGUUUCGCCCGGGGUUUUAAUUUAUCGAACCUCAAGGAUUGUGAUAGUUUACUUCCUAAUGUUACCAAAUUCUCGCUGUAAGGACGAAAAGCGAAAUUAAAAGAGGGUUUAGUUGGUUGAUAGAACGAAGUAACAAGAAAACGUGGAAAAGAUAAUUACUGAUUUGAAAUCACUUAGAGAAAAGCGCACCGGGGAAUUGAUUUCGUUUACCCUUGCUAUGUUUCUACCCGCUACAAUUAUAUAUGAAAUUAGUUAAAUCUGUUCGUGGUGCUGAGCCUAUAUGUUUACUUGCUAAUCCCUUAGUCAAGCACCCCUUCUAGUUAAUUAGUGAUAGCUAAUUCCUUAGUACCUAAUCCUAAUUAACUAGAGAUUCAAUUUCAUGUUCAGGCAAACACAAAUAAAUUGCUACCCUUAUCCCUAAGGCGUAGAGAUCCUUAUUCAAUUUCUUCCUAGA
Molecule: long non-coding RNA, 1220 nt
Organism: Lotus japonicus
Lineage: Eukaryota; Viridiplantae; Streptophyta; Magnoliopsida; Fabales; Fabaceae
Exons: 5
Source: RefSeq, a predicted model, not a curated record